CUGGAAUCUCCUCCCAUCUCCAGAGCUGGUCACCCUUAGAGGCCAUGCUGUAUGUGUUCCUCUAUGAAAUCUUUGAUUCCCCAUGGCAAUCAGAACAAGCUGCUCUCUAUAUACAGUGAGCCAUUGUAGAGGCAGUGGGCGUUGUAAGCAAUGAGAGUGGCACUUCCAAGCACCUUCCCUGGACACUACCCUUGGCAUCUCAGCAUCAAGCUGCCGUAGCUAUGAACUGUGUCAGUGAACACCUGUGCUUUAUCUCAAUUUAUUUUGUGCAUCCAUCGGCAUGAUGUGUCCUAAGGACGGGGUGGGGGCCGAUGACUUGGAACAGGAAAGGAAGAAGAAAGUGAAAGCCAGAUCCUACAGCCCCCGUCCUGCCGGAUGCCUGCCAACCCCUCUCCAGCCUGCCUGUGUGGGAGUGAGGAGAGCGCUCAUUCUGAAACUGUGGAGAUCACCUCUUCUGGAAACGGUCAUAUUUCUUCUC
Cervus elaphus (red deer) is the source of this 478-nucleotide long non-coding RNA. RefSeq lists it as uncharacterized. The transcript is spliced from 3 exons. Lineage: Eukaryota; Metazoa; Chordata; Mammalia; Artiodactyla; Cervidae. The record is from RefSeq and is a predicted model, not a curated record.